GCCUCUUUUACUUGAUGCACGCUACAUGUUGCUAAUUUGCUAUGCGAUUGGCAAAUCUUAAAACCCGACCAAUCCACAUCGAGCUCAAGGUCUUAAUGAAGUUUAAGGAUCUCAGGCUAGAACCCACUCAGGCCUUCACGAAUCACGAUGAUGAUCAGACUAAGGAGCCCAAGAUGUUGUUUGCUCUGAUCCACUUCAGAAGAUGCCUACUAAGAUCCGACGCUUCUUUUGAGACUCCCUUCUAAGG
Long non-coding RNA from Lotus japonicus, 247 nucleotides. RefSeq lists it as uncharacterized. The transcript has 2 exons. NCBI's taxonomy places the organism in Eukaryota, Viridiplantae, Streptophyta, Magnoliopsida, Fabales, Fabaceae. The record is from RefSeq and is a predicted model, not a curated record.